This 513-nucleotide ribosomal RNA is filed under the name uncultured bacterium. RNAcentral's name for it is "bacterial SSU rRNA". It matches the Rfam family "Bacterial small subunit ribosomal RNA", at positions 997 to 1509 of the family's 1533-position model. The record is from RNAcentral.
UUAGCAGAGAUGCUUUGGUGCCUUCGGGAACUCUGAGACAGGUGCUGCAUGGCUGUCGUCAGCUCGUGUUGUGAAAUGUUGGGUUAAGUCCCGCAACGAGCGCAACCCUUAUCCUUUGUUGCCAGCGGUUAGGCCGGGAACUCAAAGGAGACUGCCAGUGAUAAACUGGAGGGAAGGUGGGGAUGACGUCAAGUCAUCAUGGCCCUUACGAGUAGGGCUACACACGUGCUACAAUGGCGCAUACAAAGAGAAGCGACCUCGCGAGAGCAAGCGGACCUCAUAAAGUGCGUCGUAGUCCGGAUUGGAGUCUGCAACUCGACUCCAUGAAGUCGGAAUCGCUAGUAAUCGUGGAUCAGAAUGCCACGGUGAAUACGUUCCCGGGCCUUGUACACACCGCCCGUCACACCAUGGGAGUGGGUUGCAAAAGAAGUAGGUAGCUUAACCUUCGGGAGGGCGCUUACCACUUUGUGAUUCAUGACUGGGGUGAAGUCGUAACAAGGUAGGCGUAGUGCU